This is a non-coding RNA of Peromyscus maniculatus bairdii (prairie deer mouse), 730 nucleotides long. The record is from RefSeq and is a predicted model, not a curated record. NCBI's taxonomy places the organism in Eukaryota, Metazoa, Chordata, Mammalia, Rodentia, Cricetidae.
GGGCUUCCCUCUGGCUCCAACACCUUCAGAGAACACUGCUCCAGGUCCAGGCAACUGAAACAGCAGAUUGAAGUCAUGAAGUGCCUAAUAUGUGGCUGGACAUUAUAGGUGCUGUACGGAAAAAUCCCUGGGAGAUUCUCCAGGCCUCGCCACCCCAAUCAACCUACAUGGAGCUAUCUAACUGCCAUCAUGGAAGACUCACAAAACUCAGCCGACUCUUACCAGAGUCUACCUUGAAUUCCAAGAUUCUAAAAAUGAACAGUGUAUACACAAGCUUCUAGAGUUGAUACUUAUGAAACUGCAACGGAAUGAAUCAAAUAUAAAAGAAUCUAUCUCUGCAAUUAAACUAAGACACCAUAAAGAUGUUCAAAGCACCCAGCAGUUUGAAGCAGGAAGAAUGCUACAUGAUCCAGACUAGACUGGCUGUUCCAGGACACCUCCGGCUACAGUGAGAAACCAAGAAGAAAAAAAGAGCCUUCAAGAUGAAUAUGACGAUGACAGCUUGAAAUCCCAGCAUGAGGGAGGCUCAGUCAGGAGGACAGAUUUUAAAAAUGUUAACCGAUGCGCUAUUUAUUUUUGGACAAACUUUUUCUGAAGAAAAAAACAAAACAAAACAAAACAACGACAUCGUUUCUGCUACCAUGUAAGAAUUACUUUUAAGGCCAAUAUUUUUAAGAGUUAUUGGUUUUACUUUCAAAUAGUAAAUAUCCGUAAACACCUGCAAAAUAUA